UACGGGAGGCAGCAGUGGGGAAUUUUGGACAAUGGGCGCAAGCCUGAUCCAGCCAUGCCGCGUGUCUGAAGAAGGCCUUCGGGUUGUAAAGGACUUUUGUCCGGGAGCAAAUCCCAGUGGUUAAUACCUACUGGGGCUGAGAGUACCGGAAGAAUAAGCACCGGCUAACUACGUGCCAGCAGCCGCGGUAAUACGUAGGGUGCAAGCGUUAAUCGGAAUUACUGGGCGUAAAGCGUGCGCAGGCGGUUGUGCAAGUCUGAUGUGAAAGCCCCGGGCUUAACCUGGGAACGGCAUUGGAGACUGCACGACUAGAGUGCGUCAGAGGGGGGUAGAAUUCCGCGUGUAGCAGUGAAAUGCGUAGAGAUGCGGAGGAAUACCGAUGGCGAAGGCAGCCCCCUGGGAUGACACUGACGCUCAUGCACGAAAGCGUGGGGAGCAAACAGGAUUAGAUACCCUGGUAGUCCACGCCCUAAACGAUGUCAACUAGCUGUUGGGGGAUUGAAUCCUUGGUAGCGUAGCUAACGCGAGAAGUUGACCGCCUGGGGAGUACGGCC
This 554-nucleotide ribosomal RNA is filed under the name uncultured Chromobacterium sp. RNAcentral's name for it is "bacterial SSU rRNA". It matches the Rfam family "Bacterial small subunit ribosomal RNA", at positions 340 to 887 of the family's 1533-position model. The record is from RNAcentral. Lineage: Bacteria; Pseudomonadati; Pseudomonadota; Betaproteobacteria; Neisseriales; Chromobacteriaceae.